Myotis lucifugus (little brown bat) is the source of this 73-nucleotide non-coding RNA. NCBI's taxonomy places the organism in Eukaryota, Metazoa, Chordata, Mammalia, Chiroptera, Vespertilionidae. The record is from Rfam.
GCCGGUUUGGCUCAGUGGAUAGAGCAUCGGCCUGCAGACUGAAAGGUCCCAGGUUCGAUUCCGGUAAAGGGCA